This 376-nucleotide ribosomal RNA is filed under the name uncultured organism. RNAcentral describes it as "bacterial LSU rRNA". It matches the Rfam family "Bacterial large subunit ribosomal RNA", at positions 2111 to 2486 of the family's 2925-position model. The record is from RNAcentral.
CGUGAGCUGGAUGUGCGGGCUCGCAUGCGCAGGAUAGGUGGGAGGCUUUGAUCAUCGGCUUGCGGGUCGAUGUGAGCCAACGGUGAGAUACCACUCUUUGCGAGCUAGGGUUCUAACGGCCACCCGUCAUCCGGGGGCCGGACAGUACCUGGUGGGCAGUUUGACUGGGGCGGUCGCCUCCUAAAAGGUAACGGAGGCGCGCAAAGGUUUGCUCAGGCUGGUUGGAAAUCAGCCGACGAGUGUAAAAGCAGAAGCAAGCUUGACUGUGAGACCAACAAGUCGAACAGGGAGGAAACUCGGCUUUAGUGAUCCGACGGUUCUGAGUGGAAGGGCCGUCGCUCAACGGAUAAAAGUUACUCUAGGGAAACAGGCUGAA